This 1634-nucleotide long non-coding RNA is filed under the name Gossypium barbadense (sea-island cotton). Its description in RNAcentral is "long non-coding RNA (GBAR_LNC012671)". The record is from RNAcentral. Lineage: Eukaryota; Viridiplantae; Streptophyta; Magnoliopsida; Malvales; Malvaceae.
UGGGUUUAUAGUGGAUGAUGAAGAGGAGGAGGAAGACGAAAAUGAUCAAGUUUUGAAAAGCAAGAAGACGAAAAAGAAAAAGAGAAAAAGGUAAACUUUAUAUCCCAAUGUGUUAUGUUGAUUGAUUUUAAUCUUAUGACAACAUUUGCCAUUUAUGAAGUGCUACUGGCUUUUAAUUCUCUAGGAGAUCAGUGAAGGAUCCUGUUCUAUAUGAUGAUGAUAGUGAAAUGAUUCAAGAAAAUAGAACUUCAAGUAUUUUUCAAUUUCCAAAAGUAAAUAUCGAACUUGAUCCAUACGCUCAAUUUUAUUCGUUGCUAUCAUUUAUAUUACUAAUCAUUGUAAGAUAGUUCUAGCAUUCUUAAGAAAAAUUCCUAUGUUUGACAUUUGAUAUAAGCUGUCGAGGUUACAAUAUCCAUGAUUUUCCCUGAUGGCUUUGUUCGAUGAAAAUUUACUCAGGAAACUGAAAUGUUUAAGAGGCUUAAAAAGGCUGGAAAACAUUCUAAAGUGGUUGAGCAAUCUGGUUCUUCUGAUGUUAAGGGUAAUUCCCUACUAUGAUUUGAGUAAUCUUUCUCUUUUUCUAUUGAACGAUGUUGGAAACAAUUUUACUUGCUGCUUGCCUUUGACAAAUAUAAAGAUUCUAGUGCCUAGGGUGCUUUUUGUGCUCUUGACAACACUGAUUUUAUAUAUGGUUCUGUAAAUGGCCUCUUUUUUUUUUUUUUAUUCUGAUGAGUGGUGCAGUUUACAGAAAGGCUUACUUCAACGCUGCCAAAAAGCUAUUCCCAACUUAGGUAAGUCUCUGUUUUAUGCUUGUAUGUCAUACAAAGAAGAGUCACUUUGUGUAAAUGAUAUGAUAAGCACCUUUAAUUUUUCACUCUGUGCUCUUCUUUUUUUCAAUCUCUUGUUUGUAAUGUUUGAGUUUAAAGUGAGAUGCUGAAAGGGGAAAAUAUACAACCAUUUUCUUUCUGUAAGUAUUAUCAUACGGAUAUAAUUAUUAAGGUCCCAAAUGUUUUCAUCCUUGUUCCUUGCUGUGGUAUCUUUAAACACUAUCUGUGCUAAUUCUUUUACUGAAAGUUGUUUCCCCUCCUUAUAUUUAUAGAUGAGAUUUUUCCAUAAUUAAUUUUGUAGGAAUUAUUUGUUGCAUUUUUGUAAUUAUUUAUUGCAUGAGGUUAAUGGCUUGCUUGAGUUUUUCCAAGGUUCUUAGUAGUUAUAUCAAUUUUUGGUAAUUAUUUCUGGUUUGAAACUGGUUAUAUAUUAUUGGAUCAUGGUGAUCGUUAUAUUUGUGCUUUGACUAAUCAAAUCUUGGUGGUAAUAUACUUCACGCUGUAUGUAAGUAGGAAUUUUUGUUCAUUUCAUCAAAUCUAGGUGAAAUUUGUAAAUUAUGUGCCCCAACUCUUUUGCAAGUGAGCUGUAAAAUUUUCAUUGAUGUUCUUUUGUAUCAUUAAAUUUCUAUAUUUGCAGGAAUGAUGGAUUUCAUAAGGUAAGUUUUUUAUUAAAUUUUUACUUAUGUGCCAAGAGUCGAGAGUGGCUCAAGUGCCUUAAUCAAUGGCUGAGCCAUAAUAAUGGUCUCUAUACUGUGAUGGUAUACUGAAAGUUUGGCUUCCAAGAACAAGUUCUAUUUACUGCAUUAUUUUUAG